This 277-nucleotide ribosomal RNA is filed under the name Eleutherocaulis natalensis. Its description in RNAcentral is "Laevicaulis natalensis partial 28S ribosomal RNA". It matches the Rfam family "Eukaryotic large subunit ribosomal RNA", at positions 685 to 922 of the family's 3401-position model. Lineage: Eukaryota; Metazoa; Mollusca; Gastropoda; Systellommatophora; Veronicellidae. The record is from RNAcentral.
CGCGAGUCAUUGGGCAGUGCGAAACCCAAAGGCGCAGUGAAAGCGAGGGUCCGCUCGUCGGACCCAGGUGGGAUCCUUCUCCCCCCCUCCCGGGGUGGCGAGGAGGCGCACCACCGGCCCGUCCCGUCUGCGUCGGCAGUGGGGCGGAGCAGGAGCGUGCACGCUGGGACCCGAAAGAUGGUGAACUAUGCCUGAGCAGAAGGAAGCCAGAGGAAACUCUGGUGGAAGUUCGUAGCGAUUCUGACGUGCAAAUCGAUCGUCAAACUUGGGUAUAGGG